AUACGGAGGGGGCUAGCGUUGUUCGGAAUUACUGGGCGUAAAGCGCGCGUAGGCGGUCCGCGUAGUCAGGCGUGAAAGCCCCGGGCUCAACCUGGGGACUGCGUUUGAUACUGGCGGGCUAGAGUCCGGGAGAGGGUAGUGGAAUUCCCAGUGUAGAGGUGAAAUUCGUAGAUAUUGGGAAGAACACCAGUGGCGAAGGCGGCUACCUGGACCGGUACUGACGCUGAGGUGCGAAAGCGUGGGGAGCAAACAGGAUUAGAAACCCGGGUAGUCC
This 274-nucleotide ribosomal RNA is filed under the name uncultured bacterium. Its description in RNAcentral is "partial 16S ribosomal RNA". It matches the Rfam family "Bacterial small subunit ribosomal RNA", at positions 523 to 796 of the family's 1533-position model. The record is from RNAcentral.